AGAUAAAAUCGUGGUCAGUAAUUAAGGUUCCUAAACAACCAGACAACUUUCAAUGUGGUUUCUAUGUAAUGAAAUACAUGAAGGAAAUAGUUGAGUGUGAUGGUUCUCAGACGAUUGGCUCGUUGCAUUCAUUGUUCGAUAAACCAAGUUACUCCAAAGAGGACAUUGAUGACGUGCGUAAAGAAUGGGCGGACUGUGUACAAGAUCAUAUACUUGAGUAAAGAGGUAUGACGUUGCUAGUUUGGAUGCAAAGUGGAAAAAUGUCAUAUACACUUGAAAGUUUUCGUUGACGCUUAGUGAAGAACAUUGCUUAGUUGCAUAUUUUGGUUGGUAGAAUUAUGUUUAAAAUACAAUGCAAAAAAUUCUAGUCCAUUGAACUAAU
Salvia miltiorrhiza (redroot sage) is the source of this 382-nucleotide long non-coding RNA. RefSeq lists it as uncharacterized. NCBI's taxonomy places the organism in Eukaryota, Viridiplantae, Streptophyta, Magnoliopsida, Lamiales, Lamiaceae. The record is from RefSeq and is a predicted model, not a curated record. The transcript has 4 exons.